CAGAGGUUAGUUUAAUUAAAAUUUCGGUUUUGGGAGUCGUUGAUAGAAAAAUUUUCUACCUCUGA
RNAcentral lists this transfer RNA (65 nucleotides) under Trilophidia annulata. RNAcentral's name for it is "tRNA-Pro". Lineage: Eukaryota; Metazoa; Arthropoda; Insecta; Orthoptera; Acrididae. The record is from RNAcentral.